RNAcentral lists this long non-coding RNA (320 nucleotides) under Homo sapiens (human). RNAcentral describes it as "HSALNT0017217". Lineage: Eukaryota; Metazoa; Chordata; Mammalia; Primates; Hominidae. The record is from RNAcentral.
GGUAACUCCUAUGGCAUAUCUUUGACUAUGCUUCAUUUCCUUUGGCUUCCAUCUAUGCCUAGUCUAUUAUCCUUCAAAUGGAGGAGUUCACAGAUUUCCCAGGCCUUUUUCUGAAAAUGUGGACACUGACAGAGAACACAUGAAAUGCCCAAAAUUGGAAUGGAGCACUAAUGGGGGGUUUUGGAGGACUUGGAAAAUCAAGAACCUACAGCUUCCAUUUAGUUUCCUCUCUCAAUGGAAGUAGCUUCUCCCUUGUCUCAAAUAAUUACCCCUGCCUUUCCCGAGGACCCUGCAACUCUCUAGUCUGUAGAAGUUAAUUU